This 309-nucleotide unclassified non-coding RNA is filed under the name uncultured bacterium. Its description in RNAcentral is "partial contains 16S ribosomal RNA and 16S-23S ribosomal RNA intergenic spacer region". It matches the Rfam family "Bacterial small subunit ribosomal RNA", at positions 66 to 348 of the family's 1533-position model. The record is from RNAcentral.
ACGUGAUCUCUAUUUCGGUAGGGAGAAAGUGGCGAACGGGUGAGUAACACGUUGGUGACCUGCCCCGAAGCGGGGGAUAACUCCUGGAAAGAGGAGCUAACACCGCAGAUGUCUGGAGCGUUAGAGGCUUUAGACUAAAACUUUGGUGCUUUGGGAGGGGCCUGCGGGCUAUCAGCUAGUUGGUGAGGUAUUUUCUCACCAAGGGGGGGAAGGUUAGGGGGNGUGAGAGCGUGACCCCCCACAANNNAUUNCUCCCGCGGUCCCUGGACAUACNGNNNCCUCCCUCCGGGUAGGGGGUNAAACUCGCGC